Physella acuta is the source of this 236-nucleotide long non-coding RNA. RefSeq lists it as uncharacterized. The record is from RefSeq and is a predicted model, not a curated record. NCBI's taxonomy places the organism in Eukaryota, Metazoa, Mollusca, Gastropoda, Physidae.
GGAUCUACUUGCCUGUUUUGAACAGAUCAACAUAUUGACUGAAUAAAUUCGCCAACAACUUUGUGCCAAAAUGAAGGUCCAUUAUUUCAUAAUAAUCCUUGCAGAGUUACUGCUUUUGUGCCCAUUAUAUUCGCACGCCAGUUGCCACUGUGAACAAAUAACAACUUAUAACAACGGACGUCGUGUUUGUUCAUGUAGGCCAGGAUACGUUGUCAGCAGCAGAAACCCACACAAGU